GUUCUUGCUUCGGCAAAACAUAUACUAAAAUUGGAACGAUACAGACAAGAUUAGCAGGCCCCCUGCACAAGGAUGACACGCACAAUCGUGAAGGGGGGGGGGACUUU
This 107-nucleotide small nuclear RNA is filed under the name Megaselia scalaris. The record is from RNAcentral. Lineage: Eukaryota; Metazoa; Arthropoda; Insecta; Diptera; Phoridae.